UACGUAGGGGGCUAGCGUUGUUCGGAAUCACUGGGCGUAAAGGGCGCGUAGGCGGCUUGAUAAGUCGGGGGUGAAAGCCUGUGGCUCAACCACAGAAUUGCCUUCGGUACUGUCGAGCUUGAGACCGGAAGAGGUAAGUGGAACUGCGAGUGUAGAGGUGAAAUUCGUAGAUAUUCGCAAGAACACCAGUGGCGAAGGCGGCUUACUGGUCCGGUUCUGACGCUGAGGCGCGAAAGCGUGGGGAGCAAACAGG
RNAcentral lists this ribosomal RNA (253 nucleotides) under uncultured bacterium. RNAcentral describes it as "partial 16S ribosomal RNA". It matches the Rfam family "Bacterial small subunit ribosomal RNA", at positions 524 to 776 of the family's 1533-position model. The record is from RNAcentral.